UGAGGAAUAUUGGGCAAUGCCCGCAAGGGUGACCCAGCAACGCCGCGUGGAGGAUGAAUGUCGUAAGAUUGUAAACUCCUGUUAGAGAGGAAGAAUAGUACCGGUUGGACCGGUAUAUGACUGUACCCUCAGAGAAAGCCCCGGCUAACUACGUGCCAGCAGCCGCGGUAAUACGUAGGGGGCAAGCGUUGUCCGGAUUUACUGGGUGUAAAGGGCGCGCAGGCGGGAUAAAAAGUCAGUGGUGAAAUCCUACAGCUUAACUGUAGAACUGCCUUUGAUACUUUUAUUCUUGAGUUCGGGAGAGAGAGACGGAAUUCCAGGUGUAGUGGUGAAAUACGUAGAUAUCUGGAAGAACACCAGUUGCGAAGGCGGUCUCUUGGUCCGACACUGACGCUGAGGCGCGAAAGCGUGGGGAGCAAACA
RNAcentral lists this ribosomal RNA (422 nucleotides) under uncultured bacterium. RNAcentral describes it as "bacterial SSU rRNA". It matches the Rfam family "Bacterial small subunit ribosomal RNA", at positions 355 to 774 of the family's 1533-position model. The record is from RNAcentral.